GCCGAACGCUGGCGGCGUGCUUAACACAUGCAAGUCGAACGGAAAGGCCCUGCUUUCGUGGGGUGCUCGAGUGGCGAACGGGUGAGUAACACGUGAGUAACCUGCCCUUGACUUUGGGAUAACUUCAGGAAACUGGGGCUAAUACCGGAUAGGAGCUCCUGCUGCAUGGUGGGGGUUGGAAAGUUUCGGCGGUUGGGGAUGGACUCGCGGCUUAUCAGCUUGUUGGUGGGGUAGUGGCUUACCAAGGCUUUGACGGGUAGCCGGCCUGAGAGGGUGACCGGCCACAUUGGGACUGAGAUACGGCCCAGACUCCUACGGGAGGCAGCAGUGGGGAAUAUUGCACAAUGGGCGGAAGCCUGAUGCAGCAACGCCGCGUGCGGGAUGACGGCCUUCGGGUUGUAAACCGCUUUCGCCUGUGACGAAGCGUGAGUGACGGUAAUGGGUAAAGAAGCACCGGCUAACUACGUG
Molecule: ribosomal RNA, 468 nt
Filed under: uncultured bacterium
Lineage: Bacteria
Description: partial 16S ribosomal RNA
Rfam family: Bacterial small subunit ribosomal RNA
Source: RNAcentral